Molecule: ribosomal RNA, 115 nt
Filed under: Phascolarctos cinereus (koala)
Lineage: Eukaryota; Metazoa; Chordata; Mammalia; Diprotodontia; Phascolarctidae
Source: RNAcentral
GCCUACAGCUACACCACCUGGUGCUGUGAUCUUAUUAGAUCUCACAAACUAAAGAGGGUUGGGCUGAGUCAGAACUUGGAUGGAAACCAACAAGAAACACCUACAGCAGCACACA